This is a long non-coding RNA of Physeter macrocephalus (sperm whale), 1308 nucleotides long. RefSeq lists it as uncharacterized. NCBI's taxonomy places the organism in Eukaryota, Metazoa, Chordata, Mammalia, Artiodactyla, Physeteridae. The transcript is spliced from 8 exons. The record is from RefSeq and is a predicted model, not a curated record.
AAUGAAUGUCUUUUGGAUGAAACUGUGAAUUGAGUUCUAUAAUCCUGGUGUCCAUUCUGAGUUUCUUCUGGGGUCUAACUCACAGGGAGAAACCACUGCUUCUACCAAUUGGGCAACUGAUGUAAAAGAGCACAGACACCACCGAGACUGGCUCUCAAGCUAUGGAAGCACCACAGGUGCAGGGUCAUGUUGCAGCAUGGACACUGGAUGCCAUCCCUAUAGCCAUAAGACAUUCCUAGAGAUGGGAGAUCAUUGAGAGAGAGAGGAGCAUGAUUUUACUCAGAUGCUCAAAAGAGUUUUUGACCAAGAAGGGGAUGUCUUCUUCAUGUGUAGAUUCCCAGCAUCUAGCACAGAGCCUGCUACAAUAAUAGAGCACUGAAGCAAAAAAUUAAGAAUCCAUUUUCUAGACUCUAGACAAACAUAAAAUGAAGGAAUUUAGUUUUUCAAGAUACCUCCUUUUGUUCUGCAGAAGACCACAACUUUUUGUAUGUGAAUCAACUUUGAUGACAGUGCUUGGGACAUAAUGGCACACAAUAAAUAUUCAUUGAAUGAAUGAAUGAAUGAAUAAAGGAGUGAAGGAGUAAAUUCCAUUCCAUUUGUGUUCCAAGAUAUAGCGUGAACUUCAGCUCUCUCAGAGUCCAGAUUUCAUAUGCAUUGAUACCCUUCGCAAUAUGAUUUUAUAACAUCUUACAUCAAGAGUCCCUUGAAUCUGGGAUGGCCUUGUGACUUGCUUUGGUCAAAAGAAUGAAGCAGUAGCACCUAUUAUGAAAUUAGGCUUUAAGAGGCCUUGACCGUUUCAACUCUCUCUUGGACACCUGUCUUCACCAUGAGAAUAAGUCCAGGCAACUUGCUUGAGGAUGAUAAACCACAUGAAGUGGAGCCAAGGCAUCCUCACGUCUAAGAGCCAGCACCCAGAAGCAUAAGCAACAUCCAUAAUUGACCUACGGCUCACCAAAGAGGUAGUGGGGAAGCCACACAAGACCAAAAGAACUGCUCAGCUGAGUCCAGCCCAAACUGUUGUCAGAGAACUUUCAGGACUUAGCAAUAAAUGAAGCAAUGAACGUUUAGUUGAUUUUGAAGUUGAAUCUGCAUAAUGUCUCUCUCAUCUGGUUGAACCACUUACGCUGAAUGUAUAGCAUGAAUUUGAUUAUCCCAUCUUUCUCACUAAGAUGCUACUUCUCAAACUACACUUGAAACAUCGAAUGAACACUCUCAUGUACCCAAUAACCAGGUCAAGAAAUACAGCAUCCCUAGCACCCUCCUUCUCCUACUGAAUCACUACAGCCUCUUGGCAGAGGUAAGCACUGU